AGCCAGUUUCAGACAUUGGAAGCCGGACCUGCUCUGCCCAGAAAGCCUCAUUAUGGCUCAUGAAGCUCACCUGGACUAUGACAGUAGCCUUCUUUUAUUUAUUAUUUUUUGAGAUGGAGUUUCACUGUUUCACCCAGGCUGGAGUGAAGUGGUGCAAUCUCAGCUCACUGCAAACUCCGCCCCCUGGGUUCAAGUGAUUCUCUUGCCUCAGCCUCCCGAGUAGCUGGGAUUACAAGAGUGCACCGCCAUGCCCAGCUAAUUUCUGUAUUUUUAGUAGAGACAGGGUUUUGCCAUGUUGGCCAGGCUGGUCUGGAACUCCUGACCUUAGGUGAUCCAUCUGCCUCGGCCUCCAAAAGUGUGAAGAUUACAGGCCUGAGUCACCGCGCCCGGCUGACAGUAGCUUUCUAAUGGAGCCAUCUGCUUCCAGUCUUGCCUCUCAACCCCCAAUUCAUCCUGGACUCCUUGCCAUAAGUGACCUUGCUAAAUGGAGAUUU
Molecule: long non-coding RNA, 494 nt
Filed under: Homo sapiens (human)
Lineage: Eukaryota; Metazoa; Chordata; Mammalia; Primates; Hominidae
Description: HSALNT0364831
Source: RNAcentral